This 71-nucleotide transfer RNA is filed under the name Bifidobacterium mongoliense. RNAcentral describes it as "tRNA-OTHER". It matches the Rfam family "tRNA". Rfam says of the family: Transfer RNA (tRNA) molecules are approximately 80 nucleotides in length. Their secondary structure includes four short double-helical elements and three loops (D, anti-codon, and T loops). The record is from RNAcentral. Lineage: Bacteria; Bacillati; Actinomycetota; Actinomycetes; Bifidobacteriales; Bifidobacteriaceae.
UCCUCUGUAGCUCAACGGAUAGAGCACGUAAUGUUAGUGCGCGCGAGCGGGUUCGACUCCCGCCAGAGGAA